AAAUUGAAGAGUUUGAUCAUGGCUCAGAUUGAACGCUGGCGGCAGGCCUAACACAUGCAAGUCGAGCGGAAACGAGUUAUCUGAACCUUCGGGGAACGAUAACGGCGUCGAGCGGCGGACGGGUGAGUAAUGCCUAGGAAAUUGCCCUGAUGUGGGGGAUAACCAUUGGAAACGAUGGCUAAUACCGCAUGAUGCCUACGGGCCAAAGAGGGGGACCUUCGGGCCUCUCGCGUCAGGAUAUGCCUAGGUGGGAUUAGCUAGUUGGUGAGGUAAGGGCUCACCAAGGCGACGAUCCCUAGCUGGUCUGAGAGGAUGAUCAGCCACACUGGAACUGAGACACGGUCCAGACUCCUACGGGAGGCAGCAGUGGGGAAUAUUGCACAA
RNAcentral lists this ribosomal RNA (384 nucleotides) under Vibrio diabolicus. RNAcentral describes it as "bacterial SSU rRNA". It matches the Rfam family "Bacterial small subunit ribosomal RNA", at positions 1 to 371 of the family's 1533-position model. The record is from RNAcentral. Lineage: Bacteria; Pseudomonadati; Pseudomonadota; Gammaproteobacteria; Vibrionales; Vibrionaceae.